CGCCGAAAGACCAAGGGUUCCUGCGCAACGUUAAUCGACGCAGGGUUAGUCGGUUCCUAAGGCGAGGCUGAAAAGCGUAGUCGAUGGGAAACAGGUUAAUAUUCCUGUACUUCUGGUUACUGCGAUGGAGGGACGGAGAAGGCUAGGCCAGCUUGGCGUUGGUUGUCCAAGUUUAAGGUGGUAGGCUGAAAUCUUAGGUAAAUCCGGGGUUUCAAGGCCGAGAGCUGAUGACGAGUCGUCUUUUAGAUGACGAAGUGGUUGAUGCCAUGCUUCCAAGAAAAGCUUCUAAGCUUCAGGUAACCAGGAACCGUACCCCAAACCGACACAGGUGGUCGGGUAGAGAAUACCAAGGCGCUUGAGAGAACUCGGGUGAAGGAACUAGGCAAAAUGGCACCGUAACUUCGGGAGAAGGUGCGCCGGCUAGGGUGAAGGAUUUACUCCGUAAGCUCUGGCUGGUCGAAGAUACCAGGCCGCUGCGACUGUUUAUUAAAAACACAGCACUCUGCAAACACGAAAGUGGACGUAUAGGGUGUGACGCCUGCCCGGUGCCGGAAGGUUAAUUGAUGGGGUUAGCGCAAGCGAAGCUCUUGAUCGAAGCCCCGGUAAACGGCGGCCGUAACUAUAACGGUCCUAAGGUAGCGAAAUUCCUUGUCGGGUAAGUUCCGACCUGCACGAAUGGCGUAACGAUGGCGGCGCUGUCUCCACCCGAGACUCAGUGAAAUUGAAAUCGCUGUGAAGAUGCAGUGUAUCCGCGGCUAGACGGAAAGACCCCGUGAACCUUUACUGUAGCUUUGCACUGGACUUUGAGCCUGCUUGUGUAGGAUAGGUGGGAGGCUUUGAAGCGUGGACGCCAGUUCGCGUGGAGCCAUCCUUGAAAUACCACCCUGGCAUGCUUGAGGUUCUAACUCUGGUCCGUGAUCCGGAUCGAGGACAGUGUAUGGUGGGCAGUUUGACUGGGGCGGUCUCCUCCUAAAGAGUAACGGAGGAGUACGAAGGUGCGCUCAGACCGGUCGGAAAUCGGUCGCAGAGUAUAAAGGCAAAAGCGCGCUUGACUGCGAGACAGACACGUCGAGCAGGUACGAAAGUAGGUCUUAGUGAUCCGGUGGUUCUGUAUGGAAGGGCCAUCGCUCAACGGAUAAAAGGUACUCCGGGGAUAACAGGCUGAUACCGCCCAAGAGUUCAUAUCGACGGCGGUGUUUGGCACCUCGAUGUCGGCUCAUCACAUCCUGGGGCUGAAGCCGGUCCCAAGGGUAUGGCUGUUCGCCAUUUAAAGUGGUACGCGAGCUGGGUUUAGAACGUCGUGAGACAGUUCGGUCCCUAUCUGCCGUGGACGUUUGAGAUUUGAGAGGGGCUGCUCCUAGUACGAGAGGACCGGAGUGGACGAACCUCUGGUGUUCCGGUUGUCACGCCAGUGGCAUUGCCGGGUAGCUAUGUUCGGAAAAGAUAACCGCUGAAAGCAUCUAAGCGGGAAACUUGCCUCAAGAUGAGAUCUCACUGGGAACUUGAUUCCCCUGAAGGGCCGUCGAAGACUACGACGUUGAUAGGCUGGGUGUGUAAGCGUUGUGAGGCGUUGAGCUAACCAGUACUAAUUGCCCGUGAGGCUUGACCAUAUAACACCCAAACA
Molecule: ribosomal RNA, 1624 nt
Filed under: Pseudomonas aeruginosa
Lineage: Bacteria; Pseudomonadati; Pseudomonadota; Gammaproteobacteria; Pseudomonadales; Pseudomonadaceae
Description: partial 23S ribosomal RNA
Rfam family: Bacterial large subunit ribosomal RNA
Source: RNAcentral